CGGGGCGUAGCUCAGCCUGGUAGAGUACUACGUUCGGGACGUAGGAGUCGGAGGUUCGAAUCCUCUCGCCCCGA
This 74-nucleotide transfer RNA is filed under the name Parapusillimonas granuli. RNAcentral's name for it is "Pusillimonas terrae tRNA". It matches the Rfam family "tRNA". Rfam says of the family: Transfer RNA (tRNA) molecules are approximately 80 nucleotides in length. Their secondary structure includes four short double-helical elements and three loops (D, anti-codon, and T loops). Further hydrogen bonds mediate the characteristic L-shaped molecular structure. tRNAs have two regions of fundamental functional importance: the anti-codon, which is responsible for specific mRNA codon recognition, and the 3' end, to which the tRNAs corresponding amino acid is attached (by aminoacyl-tRNA synthetases). tRNAs cope with the degeneracy of the genetic code in two manners: having more than one tRNA (with a specific anti-codon) for a particular amino acid; and 'wobble' base-pairing, i.e. permitting non-standard base-pairing at the 3rd anti-codon position. Lineage: Bacteria; Pseudomonadati; Pseudomonadota; Betaproteobacteria; Burkholderiales; Alcaligenaceae. The record is from Rfam by way of RNAcentral. RNAcentral also lists the same sequence under 2 other names.